GAUGAACGCUAGCUACAGGCUUAACACAUGCAAGUCGAGGGGAAACGGCAUCGAAAGCUUGCUUUUGAUGGGCGUCGACCGGCGCACGGGUGAGUAACGCGUAUCCAACCUGCCCAUCACUUGGGAAUAACCUUGCGAAAGUAAGACUAAUGCCCAAUGACAUCCCACGAAGGCAUCCGAAUGGGAUUAAAGAUUUAUCGGUGAUGGAUGGGGAUGCGUCUGAUUAGCUUGUUGGCGGGGUGACGGCCCACCAAGGCAACGAUCAGUAGGGGUUCUGAGAGGAAGGUCCCCAACAUUGGAACUGAGACACGGUCCAAACUCCUACGGGAGGCAGCAGUGAGGAAUAUUGGUCAAUGGGCGAGAGCCUGAACCAGCCAAGUAGCGUGCAGGAUGACGGCCCUAUGGGUUGUAAACUGCUUUUAUAAGGGAAUAAAGUGGGUCACGUGUGACUUUUUGCAUGUACCUUAUGAAUAAGGACCGGCUAAUUCCGUG
RNAcentral lists this ribosomal RNA (492 nucleotides) under uncultured bacterium. RNAcentral describes it as "partial 16S ribosomal RNA". It matches the Rfam family "Bacterial small subunit ribosomal RNA", at positions 28 to 507 of the family's 1533-position model. The record is from RNAcentral.